Long non-coding RNA from Vidua macroura (Pin-tailed whydah), 1828 nucleotides. RefSeq lists it as uncharacterized. The transcript is spliced from 2 exons. Lineage: Eukaryota; Metazoa; Chordata; Aves; Passeriformes; Viduidae. The record is from RefSeq and is a predicted model, not a curated record.
CUGACGCAAAUCAACGCCCCUCUGCGCAGGCCCUGUCAAACGGCAGGAAUGCGCGACGGCGUCGAUUAGAGCGCCCGCUUCCGGAAGGCGGGACGGCUCCCAAUUACGGGCGAUGAUUGGAGAAGAUCCAGUUUGAUUGACUGCAUGCCCUCCGUCACGUGUGCGGGAGCUGUUGUCAUCACGUGAGGGUCCAAAGGAGGGCAAUGAGGACAGCGAACGGUCUGGAGAGCCUUAUAAGGAGCUACUGAGGACACUUCUUCUGUUCCUCCUGGAGAAGAGACCGAACAAGAAGAGUAGACCUCAUUGAGGUCUUCAGUAUCCUCAGGAGGAGAAGCGCAGGGGUACGUAACAGUCUCUUAACUCUCGUUAUCAGUGACAGGACCUGAAGGAAUGGCCUGAAGCUGAGUUGGGAAAGAUUUGAGUUGGAUAUUAGAAAAAAGUUCUUCAUCAAGAGGGUGGCUGAGCACUGGAAUAGGCUCCCCAGAAAAGCGGUCACAGCAUCAAAUCUGACAGCUCAAGAAGCAUUUGGACAAUGCUCUCAGGCACAUGGUGGGAUUGUUGUGGUGUCCUACACAGGGCCAGGAACUGGAGUUGAUGAUCCUGAUGAGUCUCUUCCAACUCAGCUUAUUCCAUGAUUCUGUGAUUCUAUGAACGUUCCCCACAUCACAUCCCCUUGCCUUGCAUCACACCAACCUUCUCCAUAGCACAUCCACCUGGCCCAUGUCACCCCAACCUGCCUCACAUCAUCCCGACCUGCCCAACAACAGACCAACCUGCCCCUCAUUGUGCCAACCAACCCCAUGUCAGACAAACCCUUCCUACGGCAUAUGGACCCAUCCCAUUUCAUGCCAAGCAAUCCCACAACAGGCCAACUCGCCUAACAUCAUACCAACCAUGAUGCCUAGACAUACCAAAGCCCAAUGCAACCAUCCCCUCAGCACCUACCUCCAUCUCAUCCCAUCCAGGCAACAUCCAUCCUGAACAGUGGAGACCAUGCCCACCUGGAACAGCACCAUCCCCACGUACGGUGCAGCUCUCAGAGCACCAGUCAUGCGCCUGUGCCCCACCAGGGCCAUCUAUCCCAACAGCACUCUGCAGCACCUACCUAGUGUAGAGGUGGUUGUACUGAAGACACCCAUCCCCAUGGCACUUGCAGGGACCAUCAGGGACUGAGUCAAAACACCUGUCCCUGCACUACUGGAAACACCAGUCCUGCCAUCCCUGCAGCAGCACUGGGAAUGUCCCUAAUGCAUGCCACAGCACUGGAAAUGCUUGUUCCCACUGGGCCAGGCAGCUCUGAAAGGGUUGAGUGUGCUUUACAGUGCUGGAAAACCCCAUCCUCUGCUCUUCCUCUCCUCCAGUCCUCCUGUCCUCAGCACCAUGCAUCUCCCACACCAUGGAGACCAUUCUGCUGGAAGCCCAGUAAGCCUUUAUUCACCUGCAGUACUCCUCAGUUUGUAAUAUUCCAUGCUGUAGUGAGGUGUUUUAACAGCAUUGUCUUCAGCACUUAUUUUGGUCUAAGGUAUUCAAAAGUGAACUUGUUAAAGAUAAGAAGUAAAAUAAAAUCUAGAAUGGAAAGUCAAGUUUUCUGGGGUUUGAUGGCUAUCCUUGUGGCAUUAAGCCAUCUUCCAUCCUGCUCUUUCCUUUGCAGCUGCUCACCAUGGUCUGCUUUUCUCCAUAAUGCUUCCUAGUCGAAAUGGAGAUGCUAAACUUUUCUUCUGGGUGAUUCCUUGGUUUAUCACAUAGUAACACAUCUAUAUGGACUUCUUUUCCCAAAUUGUUUGAUUCAACAUGUAGGCAUCAAAUAAAUUUGGUACCUCAAGCUUAA